UCGGGAAUUUUGGGCAAUGGGGGAAACCCUGACCCAGCAACGCCGCGUGCAGGAUGAAGUAUUUCGGUAUGUAAACUUCGAAAGAAUAGGAAGAAUUAAUGACGGUACUAUUUAUAAGGUCCGGCUAACUACGUGCCAGCAGCCGCGGUAAUACGUAGGGACCAAGCGUUGUUCGGAUUUACUGGGCGUAAAGGGCGCGUAGGCGGCGCGGUAAGUCACUUGUGAAAUCUCUGAGCUUAACUCAGAACGGCCAAGUGAUACUGCAGUGCUAGAGUGUGGAAGGGGCAAUCGGAAUUCUUGGUGUAGCGGUGAAAUGCGUAGAUAUCAAGAGGAACACCUGAGGUGAAGACGGGUUGCUGGGCCAACACUGACGCUGAGGCGCGAAAGCCAGGGGAGCAAACGGG
Molecule: ribosomal RNA, 404 nt
Filed under: Bacillota bacterium
Lineage: Bacteria; Bacillati; Bacillota
Description: Firmicutes bacterium partial 16S ribosomal RNA
Rfam family: Bacterial small subunit ribosomal RNA
Source: RNAcentral